Poecilia reticulata (guppy) is the source of this 467-nucleotide non-coding RNA. The record is from RefSeq and is a predicted model, not a curated record. NCBI's taxonomy places the organism in Eukaryota, Metazoa, Chordata, Actinopteri, Cyprinodontiformes, Poeciliidae.
CCUUUUGAUAUAUAUCCACGUCUGUGAGCAAGAGCAGCAGAUGACUGCCUUCUUUGAGACAUUGGGAUAUGUGCAUGGGAUGUAUACACAGUAGAGUCUGGGGUGUCCAACAGCAGCCUACCUGAAUAUUUACUGGACCCGAUACGCGGUUGUCAUGGGAAAUACCAAUAGCGUCAUGACAUCAGGUGCGACAGCAGAUGCUGCCAUCUGCGUGACCCAUCCUGCGACACAUUCAGAAGCAAUGUUUAUAAGCAUUAAGUGGCCAAAUGCCAUGCUAAGCUGCAGGAAAGCAUAGGUAGGAUGGAAAAGCCGCAAAGUGGUCUAUAAGCAGUUUACAUCUUCAGUCAGUCGGCUGCAGUCAGGUGGCCUUAACCUGCAGGGGACGGUCAAAAACACAAAACAUACUUACGCAUGCUCAUGAACGACACCUCUGGGAAACAACAAAUAAAAACCUGGCGUCAUUCAUC